Molecule: non-coding RNA, 491 nt
Organism: Triticum urartu
Lineage: Eukaryota; Viridiplantae; Streptophyta; Magnoliopsida; Poales; Poaceae
Source: RefSeq, a predicted model, not a curated record
CGGACAGCCUCCAACCCACACAAGCUUCCCUGUUCUGGCUUUGUCGGCUACCAUGAUUCAAUGAUGACAACACGCACACCUUUCCCUGAUGCUUGGGCAAAGGCAUGUAUGUCCGAUGUGCAGGCAAAACUUUAUAGAUGCAGAUUACAUACAUUAGAAAUUGCCAACUCGGUGGAUGAUAAAUACUAUGACUUGGGACUCAGAAAAAAGAUCAACACGUAGAUGCAGAUUACAUAGAUCAGGACUUGCUAACUCGGCGUAUGACACAUACUAAACGACAUCAACACGUAGGUAUGAGAGUUCGGAAUAUCCAACAUUUGCUAACAACUUUUUAAUUGCUUCGUCCUCUACCUGCAAUUACAACUUCAGUGUGCUUGAUUUUCAAUUAGCCAAGUGCAUUUGUUGGUUUUAGUUCUUUUCUAUAUACAAUUAAUUAUCAAUAGGUUUGAUGAUACUUCAGAACAACAUGUCAAUGUUAGAGGCUUAUUUUA